This 535-nucleotide small RNA is filed under the name Pan troglodytes (chimpanzee). Its description in RNAcentral is "retained intron". The record is from RNAcentral. Lineage: Eukaryota; Metazoa; Chordata; Mammalia; Primates; Hominidae.
AAAUUAUUCUAUCUUUUUUUUCUCUCUCCUUUUAAAUAUAACACUAGGGCCAGUGUCGUUAUUAUCCUUGUGGAGUAAUAGAAUCAAUACUGCCAAUUCCAGAAAACAUCAGGAAUUUGCUGGACGUUUGAACUCUGUUAAUAACAGAGCUGAACUAUAUCAACAUCUUAAAGAGGAAAAUGGGAUGGAGACAACAGAAAAUGGAAAAGCCAGCCGGCAGUGAAGAGUGACUUGAAGAACUAAAUUUAGUAUAUUGCAAAAAUAUUUUGUGCAGAAUUCGAUAUAAGUACUUUUACAGCAAGAUUGUAUAGUUAUGUUGCCUGGACUGGUUUUUACAUUUUUAAAAUAUUUCAGCUGUCGUUUUUGUACUAAUUAUAAAAUUGGCACAUAAUUCAAAAAUAUACAUUUGAGAUGAUUUGUCCUCCCAAAUUAUACAAGUUUAUUUUAUGGUAUAAAGUGUUCUCUCUGGAAAUGUUUUUAAAAAAAUUCUUAGGCUUCUCUUUGCGAAAUAAAACUAUUAAAAUAUUUGAAAUGC